UGAGAAUAAGGAGUGAUAUAGUUUGGAUGUUUGUCCCCAACCAAAUCUCAUGUUGAAUUGUAAUCUCCAAUGCUGGAGGUGGGGCCUGAUGGGAGGCGUUUGGGUCAUGAGGGCAGAUGAUUCAUGGCUUGGUGCUGUCUUCACGAUAGUGAGUUUUGCAACAUCUGGUCAUUUAAAUGUGUGACACCUCCCCCCUCACUCUCUCUUUCUUCUGUUCUUACCACUUUAUGUGCUUGCUCCCCUUUUGCCUUCUGCCAUAAUUGGAAGCUUCCUGAGGCCUCUUCAGAAGCAGAUGCUGCUAUGCUUCCUAUACAGCCUGCAGAACCGUGAGCCAAUUAAACCUCUUUUCUCACAAAUUACCCAGUCUCUGGUAUUUCUUUAUAGCAGUGCCUGAACAGCCUAAUACAGAAAAUUCUUACCAAGGAUUGGGGCAUUGCUAUAAAGAUACCCGAAAAUGUGAAAGCACCUUUAGAACAGGCAACAAGAAGAGGUUGGAAGAGUUUGAGUGCUCAGAAGACAGAAAAAUAGUAAUUUGUACUGCACCCCCAAAUUCCUCACUUUCAUUCAGUGAGGAUCUGGAGACUGCCUGGAGUCCUCUAAUUCACCGAGGAAAGAGCUGGGGAUAAAUAUGUUAACUGAAGUAUGAUUUUCUCAUAGUCAGAAACGCAUCAGACAUAAAAAGCAAGCUAUUCAGAAACACAGGAGAGGAGUUUCAAGGAGAGGAUGAUAGGACAUGUCAGAUGGAGACGCAGGCACGGUGGCUCACGCCUGUAAUCCCAGCACUUUGGGAGGCCAAGGCGGAUGGAUCACCUGAGGUCAGGAGUUCCAGACCAGCCACAGUAACACCAAAGUUGGGGAGACAGAGAAGAGUUUCAAUUAAAAAAAAAAAGUUUUUUUCUGUGACAUUGCUGAAUUUGGUUUUCAUAUGAUGUUCCAAAUAAACACAACAUUUGUACUGUUGACUAAACAGAGUCCCAACCAGACUGAACACUUAUUGUGCACAAGGACGGA
RNAcentral lists this long non-coding RNA (1011 nucleotides) under Homo sapiens (human). RNAcentral describes it as "non-protein coding lnc-PIGB-3:1". The record is from RNAcentral. Lineage: Eukaryota; Metazoa; Chordata; Mammalia; Primates; Hominidae.